This is a non-coding RNA of Flavobacterium flevense, 80 nucleotides long. The record is from Rfam. NCBI's taxonomy places the organism in Bacteria, Pseudomonadati, Bacteroidota, Flavobacteriia, Flavobacteriales, Flavobacteriaceae.
CCCUAGCCCUGAUAGUAGUGGAAAUCCUUUAUUGUUUUUCUUUAAAACAAUAAAGAUUGUAGCGGAUAGCAGGAAAAAGC